Macrobrachium nipponense is the source of this 4742-nucleotide long non-coding RNA. RefSeq lists it as uncharacterized. The record is from RefSeq and is a predicted model, not a curated record. NCBI's taxonomy places the organism in Eukaryota, Metazoa, Arthropoda, Malacostraca, Decapoda, Palaemonidae. The transcript is spliced from 4 exons.
GAGCUGGCUCAGGGUGAAUCAUUUAAGACAGCAGCAGUCGCAACUCGCGACACACGCAGUAAAAAGUUACAAUUCAUCGUCGUCGGUUCGACUACAGACGAUAGAGACAUUUCUGCUUAUUAAGUGAUCUGACUAGAACACACUGAGGUACUGGGACAAGCGUGGACAAACCUGUAGUUUUUGGCUAUGCAUGCAUUCCAGCCCUGGGAACAGCACCACUCAGCAAGGCAAUGGCAUCAACUCUUGGAACUCAACCACAUCUUCUUCAGUUUCACUCAGUACCUUAGAUGCCAAUUAGCUGACUCCAAGCAAUGCAGUGAUCUGUGUUCAACAGGAAAAUUGCUUGAGAGAGCUCUUGGAACACCUCAGCUGCACCAUCAUAGGAGAUCGUGCCAUCAGAUCUGAUGAAGGCCAAGCCCUUGAACCCAGCAACUGCAUAUCAAGACCUGAAUGCUGCAGUUUGCUUUACCUCAAGUAGCAAUUGCUGAAUAGUGGCAUUUGGAAUGACCAAGCUGUUUGAAUGAAGUAUUUGGGGGUAGGAAAAUCCCCCAUCUCUAUCUCAGUUCCCACUUCUCUAACCCUUGUCCAUGGCCCUGACACAGGCGCAAGGAAUAAAGGAGUUCUUGGCCUUCGUUGUUCGCUUUUAUAGACCAUGUAGCAAAUGGCAAGCUCUUAAACUAGUAUCCACAUAUCAAGACCUAAUUUCUGCAACAUUUCCUUUGCAUUAGCAGGCAGUUGCUGACGAUAACAUUCCGUCGUUCAUGGCUUUUUCAGUUCCUGUCCUGGUGUCUGCUCUUAGAAGAUGAGAUAUUGGUUACUCACAAGAAGUGCACAAGUUCUUCACCAGUCUUCUUCCUUUUUGUAUUCCUCACCCUCCUACUCUUUUCCAACAUCUCUUCCCUGGACCUAUGGGGUGUGGGGUGGAGAAACAACGCAAAGAAAGCAUGACAAGGCUAAGAAGCAUUCUGUUGUCACAUUUCCUCUUAUAUGGUAAGAUGGCUAUACUAGUAACCAUUCAUACUGGGGGCUGGUAGUAAUAAGAAGAAGGCAUGAUGCAAAUAGUCUUCUUGUGAAGGCUCACCAAAAUUUGAGCCUGAGAACAUGACGUGUUCUCUCCUAUGCGUGAUUCUGGUCGUUAAUGGUCGCCUGCUCUCUCUUCCCCAGAAGAAAACAAACCUUGACUCUCCCCCUUAAGAGUAGGGUCUAAGAAUUACGGCGAGCACAUGCCUGUAAUCCCCACCACAACCUUCAGAGGGGAGCACACAAAUGGAGGUAUUUAUAUUGUAAAUGCGCCUACACUUGCUAAGAUUUACCUCCAAUGUUAGUGUAGGUAGGCGCACCCAUAUAUCAUUCUCUUUGAUUUUAAAGUGACAUUAUUGCCUUAUGUUGGCCAAACGUGAUAAACCAUCCGCCUACAAGAAAACGGAUGAAUCAAGUUUCAAAAAUACUUCCUUUUAUUCAGCAACAGCAGCUUAGUUUGGAAUUUAUAAAUUGUUUUCCUGGUUUACUUUGUAGAGCAUUGACAGAUCUGCUAUUCUUUGGGACUAAGGAGUUAUGUCGUGUAGCGACCUGAAUGAGAAUAUCAGCAUCGAUGGUUUCAUGUUUGUUGUCUCUUCUACGACAGUGUGCCUCUUGCUCUAACAAUAACAUCAGUGCUACAGCCGUGUUGCUUAAAGUAAUUCAUAGUCUAAUGACAGUUUUGUCUCUGUUUCAGUAAUGACGCAUAUCUCCUCUUAAAUACAGGUAUGGAUUAUGAUGAUGUUUGAAGUUCCUUGCUACAGUCCGAAGUCCCUUGAUACAAUCCACACACUGAGGCAGCGGCUGCUGUGUGUGUUUUGUGGUGAAGCUAGUCCCCCAUUCGGCAGGAUAUUUCACUCGAUUAUGUACUCUAAUUUUAUGGGUGGAAAGGUAUGGCAUCCACCUCCACCCACUACAGUCAGUGGUACGGUAUUAUGGCGAUGAGGCAUUUAAAUAAUGAUGACUGACAUCUUAGUCACACUCACUUCUGUUUGGGAUAUAAAAUGCAACAGGCUGCAGACGAAUUUGGAGAAAUCAAGCCAUACUGACUGGUUUUGACAUGUAUUAGAGAAGGAAUAUGUUCGUGAUUCUUAGUCAUGUUUGAAGAUGAAGUUUCCAAAUAACACCUCAUUUCUGUAUAUAAACAUUUUACCCACUAAUAGCUAACUUCUGCACAAGUUUGGUAUGAUGCCAUUUGGGUCCAUUUGAAGAUUCAGAAGUAGAGCCUUAUUUCUAAUCUGAAAUUGGGGAGUCUCUUUGCUCUUAAUAAUUUGUCUAGGGCUACUUCCUUACUUCUAUCUUUCAAAGAACAGUGGUACUUCGGUUUUCGUACAUAAUCCAUUCAAGAACCUCCUACGAUAUCCGAAAUGUACGAAAACCGAAACAAUAAUUCCCAUAAGGAAUAAUGUAAAUAGUAUUAAUGUGUUCCAGACCCCUCCCAAAUAUUUUUUUAAAAUACAUUUUAGAGGGAAUAAACACAGUUUUACUUACAGAAAAGAGUGAGAAAUAAAUAUAAAUGAAUAAUGAAAUGAAUAAUCAACAUUUAACAUCACUCUUACCUUUAUGGAAAACUCUUGUUAGCGUAGGGAAGAUGGAGACAAGGGGAGAAGGAGGACCUUACUUUACCUUACACACCUUGCAGCUUGUUCGGGUUGCCCCAGGUCCCUCAGUGUGAGGCACCUCUAAUGUCUACCAGAGAAUUGCUAAUGCAUCUUCCGGUAUAUUUUGCAUCUUCCAAUCUUGGAUGGUCUGGGAUGCAGCUCAGAUAUUUGUCGAGCUUAUUCUUAAACACAUCUACGCUCACUCCUGAAAUGUUCCUCUCAGAUGAGCUGGCAAUGCAUUGAAUAGAUGCUGCAUUAUCUAUGCUGGUGCGUAGUGCAAUAAUGUCCUGUGUGCUUUCCUUAGUUUUCCUGGUAUAGUUUUGAGGGUGCCCAGACAAAAUGCCGAUGGACAUAAUGUCGACGGAGAUAAUGUCAAUGGACAAAAUGUCGACAGACAAAAUGUCAACCUUUGUUCAGGUAGGACAAAAUGUCAACAAAAAUAAUAAAAAUAAUAAUUCAGUUUUUGUUCACAUAUUUUGUUUACACAUUCCAGCACCGGCAGUUGUCUUGUUCCGUUUUACAAGCCAUUUAAUGCCUAACAAAUGUAUUUUCAACGAAAAAUGAUUUUUCAAAUUCCAUUAGUUCUCCAAGAUCUGCGAUAUAGUGAAAUUGUUUUUUCGGUCUGUCCAUCACUACAAUGGAGAUAACAAAAACGAACAAAGGCGGCAAGAAACUUCUUUAGGAAGGCUAUGCUUACGUUGUCGAUAAGCGAAAGGAAGAUAGGAUCUUAUGGCGAUGUGAAAAACGUGGAUAUUGUGGUGGACGAAUAACAACUACUAACGAUACUGUACUUUCUUUUGCAAGUCAUUCUCACUAGCCAGAUAGUAUCAGAUUUGAUGCUCUAAAAAUCCAGAACAAAAUAAAAGACAUGGCCAGCGGUACAGAAGAUAUUCCCUCAAAUAUAUUUCACAAGGCUACAGCAAACAUAUCACUAGAUGUGUGUGGGGCUUUGCCAAAGAAGGAGUCAAUUGCGCACACAAUUAGGCGACAGCGCAGUGUAAAUGAAGAUGAAAAUUUGACGACAACUACAAGUGGAGAAGCUUUUUUGUUGCACAAUAGUGAGGACAUAAGCAUUUACACAACGUCUAACAAUCUAAGAGUGUUAGAAACCUAUUCAACGUGGCUUUGCGAUCGGGCAUUAACAGUGUAAGGAAGAUAUUUCCAGAUACUAUCGUUUAUGGAUGUUUUUUUUUCCAUUUCGGUCAAUGUCUGUGGCGCAAAAUCCAGUCAUUGGGUUUACAAUCCUGGUAUACUGAAACCAGUAAUGCAUUCGUCAUAAAGCAGUUUCAAGUAUUGACAUUUGUUCCUUCUGAAUACGUAUAUGCUCUUUUUUUGUUUCUAUGGUGUUUUUACGUUGCAUGGAACCAGUGGUUAUUCAGCAACGGGACCAACGGCUUUACGUGACUUCCGAACCACGUCGAGUGUGAAAUUCUUUCACCAGAGAUACACAUCUCUCACUCCUCAAUGGAAUGCCCGGGAAUCGAACUUGUGGCAGCCGAGGUGGUACGCCAACACCACACUGAGGCGCUCAUAUAUGCUCUUUUUGAAGAACUUCUUGGUUCCCUAACUGAAGACAUAGAAUGUGCUCUCGACGAAUUUCUGGUAUAUUUUGAAGUGACCUGGCUAGGUGUAGUUCAACGUAGAUGACGACGUAAACCCUGCAAUGAUAUCCGGCUCUGGUCAGUUCACAGUCGUGUCGCAGAUGACUUGCCACGCACGAAUAAUGUACUUGAAGGGUAGCAUUAUGCUUUCAACUGAAGAAUGGUGAUUAAGCAGGUAUCUUUAAAAAAACUGGUUGGCAAACUGAAACAAGAACAAGCAAAUACAAAAAUGUUGUUAGCACAACUAAGCAACGGGAGAGGAAUUGGAAGGCAGAAUCUGAAAUAUGUUAGAAUCCACGAACGAUUGAAGAUCCUGGUCACAAACUUUAAUCCAGAUCAAGGGAUCCAGUUUUUAAGAGCAAUAGCUCAUAAUUUGUAACACUUUUUAGAAUUAUGUUGUUCUUAAUAGAUAAAUUUUGUAUUCAUAUCUUUUGUAACACUUUUUAAUUGAUUAUAUUGCUUUUAAUAAAUUUGUAGCUCUACAAUUGAACCAUCUUGUGAUUCAUUAAAAUGCAAUUGACUA